UCUCCGUUGGUGAACCAGCGGAGGGAUCAUUACAGAGUUGCAAAACUCCCAAACCCUUGUGAACGUUACCUAUCCCGUUGCUUCGGCGGGCGGCCCGGGCCCCGCGCCCGGCGCCCCCCGGCCCCCCGUGGGCGCCCGCCGGAGGUAAACCAAACCCUUGAAUUGCAUGGCCUCUCUGAGUCUUCUGUACUGAAUAUGUCAAAACUUUCAACAACGGAUCUCUUGGUUCUG
RNAcentral lists this unclassified non-coding RNA (231 nucleotides) under plant metagenome. Its description in RNAcentral is "partial contains small subunit ribosomal RNA, internal transcribed spacer 1, and 5.8S ribosomal RNA". The record is from RNAcentral.